RNAcentral lists this small RNA (634 nucleotides) under Pongo abelii (Sumatran orangutan). Its description in RNAcentral is "processed transcript". Lineage: Eukaryota; Metazoa; Chordata; Mammalia; Primates; Hominidae. The record is from RNAcentral.
AUGGUUAUAUUUCUCCAUACAUGCUGCCAUUUAAAUGUUGUUUUUCUUCUCUUCUCAAAGAUCUUCAGUUUAGAUCUUGGAGGCAUAUCAACUGUGGUUCUAAAUGGCUAUGAUGUAGUAAAGGAAUGCCUUGUUCAUCAAAGUGAAAUUUUUGCAGACAGACCAUGCCUUCCUUUAUUCAUGAAGAUGACAAAAAUGGGAGGCUUACUCAAUUCCAGAUAUGGCCGAGGAUGGGUCGAUCACAGACGAUUAGCUGUAAACAGUUUUCGAUAUUUUGGAUAUGGCCAAAAGUCUUUUGAAUCUAAAAUCUUGGAAGAAACCAAAUUUUUCAUUGAUGCUAUUGAAACUUACAAAGGUAGACCUUUUGACUUUAAACAGUUAAUAACGAAUGCUGUUUCAAACAUAACUAAUCUGAUCAUUUUUGGAGAACGAUUCACUUAUGAAGACACCGAUUUUCAGCACAUGAUUGAGUUAUUUAGUGAAAACGUGGAACUAGCUGCCAGUGCCUCAGUCUUCUUGUAUAAUGCCUUUCCAUGGAUUGGCAUCCUGCCUUUUGGAAAACAUCAACAGCUGUUUAGAAAUGCAGCUGUAGUCUAUGAUUUUCUCUCCAGACUCAUUGAAAAAGCUUCAGUCA